RNAcentral lists this ribosomal RNA (1917 nucleotides) under Triticum aestivum (bread wheat). RNAcentral describes it as "partial small subunit ribosomal RNA". The record is from RNAcentral. Lineage: Eukaryota; Viridiplantae; Streptophyta; Magnoliopsida; Poales; Poaceae.
AUGCCAACGUGCCUCCUCCCCCUCUUCCUCCUCCUCGCCUCGUGGCCACCGACGGCGAGAGUUGACGCUGCCUCCACGGUGAGCCCGCUGAAACCAAUUUGCAACCUGACCGCCCGCACGUACACGGCAGACAGCAGCUACGGGUCCAACCUGCAGGAUCUCGGAGUGACCUUGGCCAGGGAUGCCGGUGCGUCAGGCUUCGCCAAGGGCAGCUCCGGCGAGGCGCCCGACAAGGUCUACGGCGAAGUGCUCUGCCGCGGCGACUACACCGGCACCAAGUGCAGCAACGGCCUCACAGCCGCCUUCCAGGACGUGGACGUGCUCUGCCCGACCAGGAGUGCCGUCGUCUACUACGACCAGUACAUGAUCCGCUUCACUGACGAUGAGCAGUCCCUCUCGAACACUAGCAACGAGCCGGAAUGGGUCGCGAGUAAUAUGAACUCCGUUUUGGGUAUAGAGGCGGCGCUGCGGUUGAUGGAGAGGGUGGUGACCCUGAUGAACAAAAUGGCCGACCUGGCCACUUCCAGCUCCAGCUCCAGGUCGUACGCGACCGGCGAGGUUGGUUUCGCUGAGCAGGGCAUGAGUACUGUGUACGGGAUGCUGCAGUGCACGCUGGACCUCACCGGGCCACAGUGCAAGAGCUGCCUUGGCGACAUCAUCAGGCAGAUAGUGAAGCUGUUCAGCAAUAUCACCGACCAUCAGGCCCAGAUCGGUGGGAGGAUUAUUGGAGUACGCUGUAAUCUGCGAUUCGAGAAGGAAUUGUUCUUCGAGGAGGACACUAUCAAGAUCGACAUGCCGAAAAAUGGAAUGAGCGGGGUGCUUAAGAUUGUCAUAUUUGGAGUUCCUCUUGUAGUUCUGCUCAUAUUAGGAUUGCUUCUAAGGCCAUGCAUUGUGAAGAAAGUCCGAGAAUUAUUAUUGCAUAGGGAUCUAGUCAUCCUUGAAAAGGAAAUUGUAAGUGAAAGCGACUCGAGGUUUUCACUAUUCAGAUAUUCCAAGAUAAGAAGUGCUACUGAUAACUUUUCAAAAGAGAAUAAACUUGGAGAAGGUGGAUUUGGUCAUGUUUACAAGGGUCGGUUGACUCGUGAUCAGGACAUAGCGGUCAAACGACUUUCUCCGAAUUCAGUUCAAGGAUUCCGUGAGUUCAUGAAUGAAAUCAAACUCAUAGCCAGCCUCCAGCACAAGAAUCUGGUCAGGCUUCUUGGAUGCUGCAUCAAAGGCAAGGAGAGGAUACUUGUAUAUGAAUUUUUGCCAAGUGGUAGCUUGGAAGAGUUCAUUUUUGGGGCAGGAGCAAAGCAGAGCUGGCCCUUGCGUCGCCACAUAAUUGAAGGAAUAACAGAAGGCCUUGUCUACAUGCAUGACUACCCGCAUGAGUGCAUAGUCCACAGAGACUUGAAACCAAGCAACAUCCUAUUAGAUCAUGAAAUGAAUCCAAAAAUUUCUGACUUUGGGAUCGCAAGGAUAUGCCUCUCCAACGUGACGGAAUCAAAUACAACGACAGCUAUGGGAACAUUUGGAUACAUCGCGCCGGAAUAUUGCUCCCAGAGUGUGUACUCAACAAGGUCAGACGUUUUCAGCUUCGGCAUCCUAGUUCUCGAGAUCAUAAGUGGGAAGAGGGCCAUCGGUUCCUACCAAUUAUCUGGAAGAUCAUACGAACUCAGGAAAUAUGCAUGGCAACUGUGGAGAGAGCAGAGGUGCGACGAGCUGGUGGAUGAUUCGCUAGGCGAGGAGUACCCUGAAAUGGACGUUAUGAGGUGCAUCCAGAUCGCGCUCUUGUGCGUCCAAGAUGUCGCGGAGGACAGGCCUACCAUGCACGACGUCACGACGAUGCUGGGCAACGGAAACAAGAGGCUGCUCCGGCCUGCGCAGCCUGGUUCUUGCAGUAUACACAUCUUCACCGAUGCUGAAAUAGAGGUGUGA